RNAcentral lists this ribosomal RNA (442 nucleotides) under uncultured Pseudomonadota bacterium. Its description in RNAcentral is "bacterial SSU rRNA". It matches the Rfam family "Bacterial small subunit ribosomal RNA", at positions 338 to 795 of the family's 1533-position model. Lineage: Bacteria; Pseudomonadati; Pseudomonadota. The record is from RNAcentral.
CCUACGGGCGGCUGCAGUGGGGAAUAUUGGACAAUGGGCGAAAGCCUGAUCCAGCCACGCCGCGUGGGUGAUGAAGGCCUUCGGGUUGUAAAGCCCUGUCGGGAGGGACGAAUCAAUGACGGUACCUCCCAAGAAAGCACCGGCUAACUCCGUGCCAGCAGCCGCGGUAAUACGGAGGGUGCAAGCGUUGCUCGGAAUUACUGGGCGUAAAGCGUACGCAGGCGGCUUGAUAAGUCGGGUGUGAAAGCCCCAGGCUCAACCUGGGAACUGCAUCCGAAACUGCCAAGCUUGAGUUCGGGAGAGGGAAGUGGAAUUCCUGGUGUAGAGGUGAAAUUCGUUGAUAUCAGGAGGAACACCGGCGGCGAAAGCGGCUUCCUGGCCCGAUACUGACGCUCAUGUACGAAAGCGUGGGGAGCAAACAGGAUUAGAUACCCUUGUAGUC